CCUGAUUGAUAACAUUUGAGUGAGUGGCGGACGGGUGAGUAACACGUGGGUAACCUGCCCUAAAGUGGGGGGAUAACAAUUUGGAAACAGAUGCUAAUACCGCAUAAAACCUAGCACCGCAUGGUGCAAGGUUGAAAGAUGGUUUCGGCUAUCACUUUAGGAUGGACCCGCGGUGCAUUAGUUAGUUAGUGAGGUAAAGGCUCACCAAGACCGUGAUGCAUAGCCGACCUGAGAGGGUAAUCGGCCACACUGGGACUGAGACACGGCCCAGACUCCUACGGGAGGCAGCAGUAGGGAAUCUUCCACAAUGGACGAAAGUCUGAUGGAGCAACGCCGCGUGAGUGAAGAAGGUUUUCGGAUCGUAAAACUCUGUUGUUGGAGAAGAACGUAUUUGAUAGUAACUGAUCAGGUAGUGACGGUAUCCAACCAGAAAGCCACGGCUAACUACGUGC
Molecule: ribosomal RNA, 452 nt
Filed under: uncultured Lactobacillus sp.
Lineage: Bacteria; Bacillati; Bacillota; Bacilli; Lactobacillales; Lactobacillaceae
Description: bacterial SSU rRNA
Rfam family: Bacterial small subunit ribosomal RNA
Source: RNAcentral